AGCUCCCAGCCGUUUCCACCUUACUAAAACGAAAAAACACAAUGCACAUCCAUCUCCUCCACUUUUCACGUGAUUUUCCUGGAAUUUAGCUAAGAACUCUCAUAUAUUCCAGGGGUACAUCAUUUUUAGAGGGGACGCAUUGCUCUUUGGUCUCAUUCCUAAGAAUUCUAGUUGGUUUUGACAUUGCUUCUUGUGGCUUAAAGUUAUUCAUUAUGCCUCGUUUCCCUGAAUGUCUAGCCGCCACUUUUUUGAUUGGGAUUUGAUCACCGACACCUUUUUCACUCGUUUUCUUUUUCAGUAAAACACACACCCCAACCCUAGCGCCGUUUCUGGUUUCUUCAUCAUCAUCUCCUCCAAACAGACCUCUCUGAAAGAAUUGGACCCUCCCCCUUUAGCUGAAAAAAACCUAGCACAGCUUCCCCUUUCUUCUCAUUCCCUCUUCUUCUCCCUCAAAAAACCAGACUCUCAUUCAGAAAAGACGGAAGAAGGAGACCUGAAAAUAUAGACCCAUUUUCAUGCCUCUCAUACUCUACUUAUCCCCACUUAGCCAAAGAAUCUGAAAAAAUUCUCAGAAGAAACAUAGAAGUAUUGAAGAAUUUUAUCAACAAUGUGACCCAGAGAAAACUUUCCGUUGCAUUUUAUUUUUGGUGCUAGAUUUGGGUUCGAUAGAGCUGAUAGAUCAUCAGGUGGUUAGUAGCAGAGCCUCUCAUUAAGCUUAGGCAGUCACUCGAAGGCUCAGGGUGAGCUGCACUCUAUGGAUUCAUUUCGCACAUCCCGAGUCCAUGUCUUUUUACCAUUUGCUAUCUAUUUUAUUAUUUCAGACACCAUUGAUCAUGUAUUCAGACUUGUACCUAUUCAUUAGUUGCUCGUGUACUUGCUGUGUUUGAACCACAUUUUGACUAUAUUAUAUAUUUUACUAUUUUGAGAUUA
Non-coding RNA from Nicotiana tabacum (common tobacco), 930 nucleotides. The record is from RefSeq and is a predicted model, not a curated record. NCBI's taxonomy places the organism in Eukaryota, Viridiplantae, Streptophyta, Magnoliopsida, Solanales, Solanaceae.